AUCUAAAUUUUUAUAAUUUUAAAUAAAAUAAUUUUGAUUAAUCAAAAUUAGAUGUAACUAGUUUCUUUGUAACUUGUAUCACAUACAACAAUACCUAGGAUUUCAAGAUCUAAGAUUUUUCAAGAAAUUAAGUUUUUUUCUUUUGCUUUCUUCUUCAUUGGACCUCAUAGUGGCAUCUCUACACGCCAUGAAGAGCACCCU
RNAcentral lists this long non-coding RNA (201 nucleotides) under Elaeis guineensis (African oil palm). RNAcentral describes it as "long non-coding RNA (EGUI_LNC051885)". The record is from RNAcentral. Lineage: Eukaryota; Viridiplantae; Streptophyta; Magnoliopsida; Arecales; Arecaceae.